This 466-nucleotide ribosomal RNA is filed under the name uncultured bacterium. Its description in RNAcentral is "partial 16S ribosomal RNA". It matches the Rfam family "Bacterial small subunit ribosomal RNA", at positions 29 to 507 of the family's 1533-position model. The record is from RNAcentral.
AUGAACGCUGGCGGCGUGCUUAACACAUGCAAGUCGAACGGAAAGGCCCAAGCUUGCUUGGGUACUCGAGUGGCGAACGGGUGAGUAACACGUGGGUGAUCUGCCCUGCACUUCGGGAUAAGCCUGGGAAACUGGGUCUAAUACCGGAUAGGACUACUUCCUGGAUGUUGUGGUGGAAAGUUUUUUCGGGGUGGGAUGAGCUGGCGGCCUAUCGGCUUGUUGGUGGGGUAAUGGCCUACCAGGGUGUCGAGGGGAAGCCGGCCUGAGAGGGUGUACGACCACAUUGGGACUUAGAGACGGCACAGGCUGCGACGGGAGGAAGCAGGGGGGAAGAUUGCACAAGGGGUGCAAGCCUGAUGCAGCAGCGCCGCGGGGGGGAUGACGGCCUUCGGGUUGUAAACUCCUUUCGCUAGGGACGAAGCGUUUUGUGACGGUACCUGGAGAAGAAGCACCGGCUAACUACGUG